AUUGAACACUGGCGGCAUGCUUUACACAUGCAAGUCGAACGGUAACAGGCCUUCGGGUGCUGACGAGUGGCGCACGGGUGAGUAAUGCAUCGGAACGUACCCAGAGGUGGGGGAUAACGCAGCGAAAGCUGUGCUAAUACCGCAUGUGAUCUGAGGAUGAAAGCGGGGGACCGAGCAGCAAUGUUUGGCCUCGCGCCUUUGGAGCGGCCGAUGUCGGAUUAGCUAGUUGGUGGGGUAAAGGCCUACCAAGGCGACGAUCCGUAGCUGGUCUGAGAGGACGACCAGCCACACUGGGACUGAGACACGGCCCAGACUCCUACGGGAGGCAGCAGUGGGGAAUUUUGGACAAUGGGCGCAAGCCUGAUCCAGCAAUGCCGCGUGCGGGAAGAAGGCCUUCGGGUUGUAAACCGCUUUUGGCAGGAACGAAACGGUGUCCGCUAAUACCGGGCGCUAAUGACGGUACCUGCAGAAUAAGCACCGGCUAACUACGUG
This 492-nucleotide ribosomal RNA is filed under the name uncultured bacterium. RNAcentral's name for it is "partial 16S ribosomal RNA". It matches the Rfam family "Bacterial small subunit ribosomal RNA", at positions 29 to 507 of the family's 1533-position model. The record is from RNAcentral.